CAUCGACGGCGCGGUUUGGCACCUCGAUGUCGGCUUAUCACAUCCUGGGGCUGGAGAAGGUCCCAAGGGUCCGGCUGUUCGCCGGUUAAAGUGGUACAUGAGCUGGGUUCAGAACGUCGUGAGACAGUUCGGUCUGUAUCCAUGGUGGGCGUGGGAGUGUUGAGGGAGGCCGACCUUAGUACGAGAGGACCGGGUCGGACGGACCGCUCGUGUCCCGGCUGUCACGCCAGUGGCAACGCCGGUUAGCGAUUUCCGGUAGGGAUAACCGCUGAACGCAUCUAAGUGGGAAGCCCGUCCCAAGAUGAACACUCCUGGACCGCAAGGUCCCUGAAGGGCCGUGGGAGACUACCACGUUGAUAGGCGGCAGGUGUACGGCGCGCAAGCGCUUCAGCCGAGCCGUACUAAUCGCCCGUGAAGCUUGAUCUC
This 426-nucleotide ribosomal RNA is filed under the name Gemmatimonadota bacterium. RNAcentral's name for it is "Gemmatimonadetes bacterium (groundwater metagenome) partial 23S ribosomal RNA". It matches the Rfam family "Bacterial large subunit ribosomal RNA", at positions 2503 to 2925 of the family's 2925-position model. The record is from RNAcentral. Lineage: Bacteria; Pseudomonadati; Gemmatimonadota.